Molecule: non-coding RNA, 688 nt
Organism: Camellia sinensis
Lineage: Eukaryota; Viridiplantae; Streptophyta; Magnoliopsida; Ericales; Theaceae
Source: RefSeq, a predicted model, not a curated record
UAUACCCAACUCUCUUCCUCAUCUUGCUCUGUUCUUCAUUCAACUUCCGAUUCAUCUGCUCUUCCGGUUCAUUUCGGAAUCAUUCGAGCGUAUCACCUCCUCUCUUCUCCCAGACGAUGCCGAAAAGUUCAUCCUCACACCCGAAUCGCAGAACAGAACAUUUUUGGAGAUGAAAAAUUGAUUUCACAGCAUCAAACUAGAGCACAAGGUGAAAAAAAAAUUCAGGCAUAAACCAAAUCGAACAAAAUGAUGUCAGGGCAAGGCUUUCUGAGAUGAUGAUGGGGACGUUACCUCGACAAUCCAUUCCAAUAGUGGACCUCGUAAAGCUAUUGAAACAGAAGAAUUCAAUCAGGGCAAGGCUUUCUGAGAUGGAAAAUGAAAUACAUGAGCAUAGUAGAAGGCUUCAAAGGAUGGACAACAAUUUCAAGGCUAUGAUUUAUGUGAUUCUACUCUAUAUCGUUUUGUACUUUAUUAUGUAAUAAUUUAAAUGCUUGACUGUUAGUUUUUGGGAUAUUUGAUGAAUGUAAUUAUGGAUGUAAUGGACAUGUUGAAUAUUAGGAGUUUAAUUGAAUGUGAUGUUGUAAUUUAAUUAUGGAUGUACUGGUGGACAUGUUUUAAUUUUAUUAUGGAUGUAAUGUACUGCUUGAAUGUUAAGAGUUUAAUUGAAUGUGAUGCUGUAAUUUUAUUA